Molecule: ribosomal RNA, 813 nt
Filed under: uncultured Bacillota bacterium
Lineage: Bacteria; Bacillati; Bacillota
Description: bacterial SSU rRNA
Rfam family: Bacterial small subunit ribosomal RNA
Source: RNAcentral
CAAGUCGAACGCGAAAGUCCCGCAAGGGAUCAGUAGAGUGGCAAACGGGUGAGUAACGCGUGGGCGACCUACCUCUGAGUGGGGGAUAACCUUCCGAAAGGAGGGCUAAUACCGCAUGACAUCCCAUGUUUGGAUACAUGGACAUCAAAGCCGGGGAUCGCAAGACCUGGCGCUUGGAGAGGGGCCCGCGUCCGAUUAGCUAGUUGGUGAGGUAAUGGCUCACCAAGGCUCCGAUCGGUAUCCGGCCUGAGAGGGCGGACGGACACACUGGGACUGAGACACGGCCCAGACUCCUACGGGAGGCAGCAGUGGGGAAUUGUUCGCAAUGGGCGCAAGCCUGACGACGCAACGCCGCGUGGAGGAUGAAGACCUUCGGGUCGUAAACUCCUUUCGACCGAGAUGAAUUCCUGCCGGCCUAACAUGCCGGCGGGGUGACAGUAUCGAGGGAAGAAGCCCCGGCUAACUCCGUGCCAGCAGCCGCGGUAAUACGGGGGGGGCAAGCGUUGUUCGGAAUUACUGGGCGUAAAGGGUUCGUAGGUGGCUUGUUAAGUCAGACGUGAAAUCCCUCGGCUCAACCGGGGAACUGCGUCUGAGACUGAUGAGCUCGAGUGCAGGAGAGGAACGCGGAAUUCCAGGUGUAGCGGUGAAAUGCGUAGAUAUCUGGAGGAACACCGGUGGCGAAGGCGGCGUUCUGGACUGCAACUGACACUGAGGAACGAAAGCCAGGGGAGCAAACGGGAUUAGAUACCCCGGUAGUCCUGGCCCUAAACGAUGAAUGCUUGGUGUGGUGGGUAUCGAUCCCUGCCGUGCCGG